CAUGAAGAGAAAAUCCUGUGUGUGUGUCUUCAUACUUGCUGGCUCUAGUACCAGAAGAGAGGGAUCUGGCUUCAGAGCAGGACUGAAAACUUCUCACCAGUCUGGGGAUAAUAGUGUUGAGGCAAAUUCAUUCUCUUGACUUGCAAAAACAGAUUUUUCUCAUCUUCCUCCUUCUCUCACCUUUUUUGCAGUAGCAUUUUUCCUCAAAGUACAACUCAUUUUUUUACUAACGCCUAACUAAUCCUAGUGUUAUUUUAUCAUAUUUUUACCAAGAAUGUUCUAAAAAUCUUGGAGACGUUCCUCCAUGAUCUUGGGAAAAAAAGUUGCCAAAUGCUGUGCUGUUUUUUUUGUUUGUUUUUAAUUUUCUUUCAUUUACAGAUUUCAUGAAACUUAUAUUCUGUGGCUUUGACCCUCACCAAUCUUGGAAGAUUGAUCUCUCAAGGACAAACCCAGUGCCUAUUUCUCAGUCCUUUUUCUACUUGACAUUUGCAGAAUUGGCACUUUUUGCCACUGUUAUGCCUUAAAUCUUGAGCUUCUUUCAGGAUCCAUGAUUCUGUGCUGAUCUACACUUUUCCUACCUCUCAGCAUUUCUUUGAUUGUCAAUGAUCAGCUCUGUGAUUUGGGGCAAGGGUUAGGCCAGAAUUAUCUCAUUUUAUCAAGUUAUAAAACUUGAGGUAGUGCAACUAGAUUAUACACUUCUUGAAGACAGAAAUCUUGGUUUGUUUGUUGUUUUAUUUUUGAGAGAAGGUCUUGCUGUGUUGCCCAGGCUGGAGUGCAAUGGCACAAUCAUAGCUCACUGUAGCCUUGAACUUCUGGGCUCCUGCCACAGCCUCCUGAGUAGCUAGGGCUGCAAGUGUGUACCACCACACCCACAAUUUUAAAGUUUUUUUGUGGAGACAGGAUCUCACUAUAUUGGCAAGGCUGGCCUCCAUCUCCUGAACUCAAACAAUUCUCCCACCUCGGCUUCCGAAAACACUGACAUUACAGGUGUGAGCCACCACACCUGCCAGAAAUCUUGUUUUUGAUUGAUAUAAAACAUCACAAAGUACUGAGUAGACACUAAAUGCUCUGUAAUUAUUGCUCACUGAUUCCUCUUUAUCUGUAAUCAAUCAACUUGACUUUAUUUGAUAUGGAUUAAUAAUUGAUUUCUUUCUCUCUUUCUACUGCUGCUUCCAAGUUCUUGGUACCUUGUGCCUAGAUUACUAAAUUGAUCACUGUUGACUCACUACCAUUAUCUAGCUCCUUACUAAACUACUACUUUGUUAAAAAAAAAUAGUCGUUUCCCAGUGACCUCUGCCCCAAAUGUAAACUUCUUUAACCUAAAGGUCUUUCAUAGUUUGAUCUACUUACUUACUUCCUUUCUCUUCUCAAAGAUAAUACAUGCGGGCAGGCCUGUUUUGUCCCUACUAUACCCUCUUCUCACACUUUUCUUCUUUUCAAACUGUUCCUUGGCACUUCUACAUGUCCUACUUUCUUCGUUGUAUUCCAGAAACCCUAUCCACCCUUUUUUAAAGGCCAUGCUCAUAUCCUGGCUCUGUGACACUUUCAGUCCCCUGCCUUCUUAGAAAUCCUUUGUAGUGAUGGUUUGCAUUAUUCUCCUGUAUUAGACACCUUCUUUACUGUUUUCUGGUUCUUUCACAAGUACUUUUUUACAUAAGCUGUUUUGAAGUUGUAAAUCAUCCUAAAUCUUUUAUAAGCCUCAUAUAAUACAUAGUACAAUGCCAGCCUGGACUCUAGUUUUAAUCUAAAUACAUAGGGUUUAAUUUAGCAGCAUAAUCUUUUUAGUCUUUUGAAUGAUGAGGUAACCUCAUAGGUAUUUUGGCCCAUUUUGUUUUUCCUUGAAUUACAUAUAUAACUGACUAUUUAGACUGACUCCUUUAGAUCUCCUGGGAUGCUGACCUCUUGGCUUUCCAAUUCAUGAGACUAUUGUAAAGAAUAAGUGAGUUCAUUCAUGUAAAGUAGUAAAACAGUGCCUGACAAAAGUAAAUGCUCAAUAAAUUCUAAUUGUUAUGAUUCUAGU
Molecule: long non-coding RNA, 2020 nt
Filed under: Homo sapiens (human)
Lineage: Eukaryota; Metazoa; Chordata; Mammalia; Primates; Hominidae
Description: non-protein coding lnc-PRSS16-5:1
Source: RNAcentral